UUUGAGAUCAAGCCAGCAAUGUCCUGUGCUGUUGCAUGUUGAGCUGGGAAGCGGUUGGAUCGGGCUGGCAAGAUGGAUGGCAUUGCUCAGACGAGAGGCAGUAUUAAUCUGCCGCUUUUAAGUUUAAGACAAUGCAAGUACUGCAGGACCGUAUGUCUCGAGGCCUGAACAUGUGUGAAACAAUGCCCGGAAUAUCAACAACUGUGGGCAGACAAUUGCAUCAAAAGGAGGUUGAUUGGAAACACUGAAAGCUGUUGAACGCAGUGCCAUGGCAAGCAACUAAUGACCAUUGGUUGAUGAAACACCAGCAACAUGUAAUCACCCAUUUCAGACCGGUCUUCACACAAAGCCUUUCGUUGAGUGCCAUCUGUGUGCUUCUCAGCUUGCACAUGGCAGCAUAACACUUUGUUGAGACUGUCUUGAGAUCGUCCUACACCACCAAUUCCAACAGCCUCCAUAUGCAUAAGGUUGCACUUCAGCAGUUAGCAUUGGCAUCCGGAUCCAUCCAUCAGGCAACACCUCUGUAGCGGCCUCUAUCUGGCGCAACAAGAGCACCCUGUGCUGCUGUAUCAUCUGCUGCAUGCACCUCCAGUGGAAAGUAUUUGCCCCCCAGUGGGCAGCUCCUGGUGCUGCCUAGACCUCAGCCGAAGCACCUGUCCCUGUCACACGAGAAAGAUCUUCCCAAGGGAGCAGACAGCAGUUGGAAGCUGCCAUCCUUGGCAAGCACUGUACCUGGCAAUGGGAUCGGCUGAUGGAUUCACAUGGGUCGUGGGUCCUUGCACAUCUGUUGCAGGGUGAUGGGCAAUGCUGCUUGCUGCACAAAUCGACAUGGGCUCACUGGUGAACAGGAGGCAAGGCAAUAUUGAUUGACAUUAAUGCAGGGCGCGCUGGCAGAUGAGCACCUGAUUUUUGUCACGGCGCAGGUGCAGAGUACAGCCUUGAUGUCGCCAAUCAAUCAUUGAUCCCUCUCGUUCUCCUCCUGCACAGGCGUUCGUAUGAUAUGUUUUUGUCUCUGUCACCAAGCACCAGAUCCGAUAGCGUGCACAAUCGAUGAGCUGGCACAGACACGUUCUUGCGCAUGCCUGACCUCAAAAAUUUUGUUAUUUUAAUUAGCUCACAGAGAUCUUUGCACAAGAGAUAACAUUGGUGCAUGUGCCGCACAGCAGCA
This 1168-nucleotide long non-coding RNA is filed under the name Coccomyxa subellipsoidea. Its description in RNAcentral is "long non-coding RNA (CSUB_LNC000756)". The record is from RNAcentral. Lineage: Eukaryota; Viridiplantae; Chlorophyta; Trebouxiophyceae; Coccomyxaceae.